AGUAAAGAAGUAAAAUACAAUUUAAAUUCGACUUAAACUUAGAGAAUAAUUUUCUCCUUACUC
Molecule: transfer RNA, 63 nt
Filed under: Symplanella brevicephala
Lineage: Eukaryota; Metazoa; Arthropoda; Insecta; Hemiptera; Caliscelidae
Description: tRNA-Arg
Source: RNAcentral